AACGCUGGCGGCGUGCUUAACACAUGCAAGUCGAACGAUGAAAGCGGGAGCUUGCUCCUGCUGGAUUAGUGGCGAACGGGUGAGUAACACGUGAGUAACCUGCCCUUGACUCUGGGAUAAGCGUUGGAAACGACGUCUAAUACCGGAUACGACCUUCGGAGGCAUCUCCUGGGGGUGGAAAGAAUUUCGGUCAAGGAUGGACUCGCGGCCUAUCAGCUAGUUGGUGAGGGUAAAUGGCUCACCAAGGCGACACGGGUAGCCGGCCUGAGAGGGUGACCGGCCACACUGGGACUGAGACACGGCCCCAGACUCCUACGGGAGGCAGCAGUGGGGAAUAUUGCACAAUGGGCGCAAGCCUGAUGCAGCAACGCCGCGUGAGGGACGACGGCCUUCGGGUUGUAAACCUCUUUUAGUAGGGAAGAAGCGAAAGUGACGGUACCUGCAGAAAAAGCACCGGCUAACUACGUG
RNAcentral lists this ribosomal RNA (468 nucleotides) under uncultured bacterium. RNAcentral describes it as "bacterial SSU rRNA". It matches the Rfam family "Bacterial small subunit ribosomal RNA", at positions 32 to 507 of the family's 1533-position model. The record is from RNAcentral.